RNAcentral lists this transfer RNA (75 nucleotides) under Propionibacteriaceae bacterium. Its description in RNAcentral is "tRNA-Val". It matches the Rfam family "tRNA". From Rfam's summary of the family: Transfer RNA (tRNA) molecules are approximately 80 nucleotides in length. Their secondary structure includes four short double-helical elements and three loops (D, anti-codon, and T loops). Lineage: Bacteria; Bacillati; Actinomycetota; Actinomycetes; Propionibacteriales; Propionibacteriaceae. The record is from RNAcentral.
GGGCGGUUGGCGCAGCGGUAGCGCGCUUCCUUGACACGGAAGAGGUCGCCGGUUCAAACCCGGCAUCGCCCACCA